This 3512-nucleotide long non-coding RNA is filed under the name Salvia miltiorrhiza (redroot sage). RNAcentral describes it as "long non-coding RNA (SMIL_LNC006436)". Lineage: Eukaryota; Viridiplantae; Streptophyta; Magnoliopsida; Lamiales; Lamiaceae. The record is from RNAcentral.
UAAAGUAGCGGUCCCCUCCCCCCAUUUCUCUCCCCCACACUUUCUUAUUCUUCCUCCAUUUUUAGCCAAGAAAAAUAUUUCCAAGACUCCUUCUUUACACACCCAAAAGCUAGAGAAGUACAUCAAGUCUUUCCAAACUUCAAAGUUCAAGCAUCAAGUAGGAAAAGCUUCAAGGAAUCCAAAGCCUCAUCUACUCCAUUUUCCUUGGUUUUCUUGGAGUAAGCUUCUAACCUUCAUUUUGUGUGUAUAUAGCAUGAUAUGUGUUAUGCAUGUGUGUUUUGAUGCAUGAAAAAUCCAUCCUCUCAUGUGCAUGCAAAUUUCAAAAAAAUGGUUCUGGAGAAAGCAAGAAAAUCUUCAAGUUAUUGUCACGACCGGCCCUAAUUAAGGAUAAUUAAGCCGGGGAAACCGUGACUAAGGGAGGGAGAUUAGAAGCGGGGUAGAAAGGGGGAUAAUCAAAUAUGGAGGAUCGCAUUCUAUCAUUGCUAACAAAAGGAAUAUUUAUAAUAUAACGAAGGUUUAGUCAUAUUGACUCAAAUAAACUAGUAAGUUCGAAUAAUUCCAACUUAGCUAAAAUAUCAUAAUACUUUUGAGUACGCAGCGGAAUAAGGUUCUGAUCACAUGUAUGAAGACAUGUAUCCCCAGAGUUCAUUAAUACAUAAGGAUAAGACAAAAGACUCCGCUCGUCACUUCAUCACCACCAGUAGCUGCUCAACCUGCACAUUUAGAAAUAUAUGCAGGGCUUAGUACAAAAGUACUCAGUGGCACGUAAGCCUAAGUAUAAAAAUACAUGCUUCAAAACUGUAAAUUGUCAUGCCAUCAUAAACAGUACAGCAAGGGAGUUUUCGUGAAAUAGGCCCAAGCUUACUAAAUUCUUUUGUGAUUCUUAAAGUUCGACUGAUCAGUCUAAGUUCUCUUGUAAUCUAUCAUAUCUGAAGCUGUGUGCCGGAGAGGUGGCCACCUCUCACGGUCACUUGACCGGCCAACCCGCUAGAUGACUCACGGUCACUGGUGUACACUAGCCCUGGCAGGAUAGCUAUCAACUGCUCAGGACCCGAAUUCGAUUACAUAACUUGGCAAAGCCACAUCAGAUAGAUAUCAUACUGAAAUUGAAACAUUUUAUGGCAAGACAAUACUUGAAAUAACUUCAAUUCAAAGAUUUUGUAACGAGAUAGUUGUUCAAAUGUAACAUUUAAACUCAUUUGAUAUAUAUGAAAGUAAUGCCCACCUGACAGCACUCCUGCUGUGGUGCAGCUGCUCUCACUCUAAUUAUUGCUCGCGCGCUUGACCUUUAUUGGGGGAUUUAAAUAAGAUAUGUGCUCGAAGAGAAUCCUCGAUUAAUGAGAAUGCGAAAAUAAAUAUGCAUGACUCUCUUAUGCAUGAUUCAUUAUUCCUGCUUAAUAGUCCGGGAAAUCUACUAUUAAUCCUAACUCUCGGAUUAAAUAACUUAAAUAGGGCUCGUCGCACGAGGUCGAAUAAUAACUAUAAUGAAUCCGCUUAUCUAGAGUGUUCUAUCCCACUUGAUAAUUAUAAAAGGUCUCGCUUCGUAAUCGAUUAAAAAGAAAUAGCUCAAUCGAAUUAUUCGCUUAAUAAUUACGUAAUACGAAAUCUGUAAUUAAAACUAUCUGAGUCCAAUUAAUCGAUUAAUAAGGACUGAUCAUGAAUCGGGCUUAUAUAAAUAUGAGGGAAGUAAUAAUAAUAAUCCAAUAAUUAAAAGACUCAAACAUAAGGUAGCCAAAUAAUUAAAUAAGAGUGGGCUCAAAUGAAAAUAAAUAAUUGCAAUCCAUAUAUAAAUCUGGAGCCCAAGUAAAAUAAUUAAAUUUGGGCUGAAUUAUUAAAAUAGAAGGCCUAACUAAGAUAAGAUUAUUGGGCUCAAAUAAUUAAAUAAAAAUGGGCCCAAAUGAAAUGGUAGCAGCCCAACUAAAAUAAUUAACUCUAGGCCCAAGUAAAAAAUAAUUAGUAGCCCAAGGAAAAAUUAAAAUACAAUGGCUCAAAAUAAUUAAUGGUCCAAACCCAUUUAAACACAAGCCCAAUCUUUUAAAAGGUAAAGGCCCAAGGAAUGGCCCAACCUUUCCUUAUCUCUCCCACUCGGUCUCUCUCUUUUCUCAAACAGACGCUCCCUUCGGUUCUCUCUCUCUCUCGAUCCGUCUCCAGCCGAGGCGUCUGCCGCCGCCGCUCCGCAAUCCGGCGAGGCGGCGCUUCCCCGCUUCUUCCUUGUCAACGUCAAUCUCCCCCUAGAUUCUCAGGCGAAUUCCUCCAUUUUCACUCCGAGCCCUAGCUUCUCCCAAAAUCAAAAAUCGCCGCCGCCGCCGCCUAUGGAAGAAGGGCGAACGAUCACUGGUCGUCGCCCUGCUUGACUCGGACGCUCCCUUUGCCCAUCUCCUUUCGGCUUCAAUCGUUCUUCUCUCCCUCGAAUCUAUUGAACGAACGAAGAAGCCCUUAUUUCUGCCAGAGAAAAGAAUACCGCCUCCGCUGCAACUGGAAAGCCGACUUCGCCGCGCCGCUGCACUCGCGGCGGCGGCCGCUGGUCAUCAGGCCGCCGGCUGCUUCCCCCCCUCACCUCAUUUCCUUUCUUUCAAGGUCGAGGGAAAAGAAAAAGGGUAGAAACCCAAGUUCCUCAGUCAGAAAUCGUCUCCGUCGCCCCUGAAAUCUCCGGCGACAUUGUCACCUCAAGCCGGCGUCGCUCCGCCUGAAACUCCACUGCCGCGGCGCACCGAGCCGCUGCUGCUAUUUUCUCCGGGGUCGAAGGUUUGAGCAGCCGCGCUGUUGCUGGAUUCGGGCGAUGGGUACGCCGCCGCUGCUGCUACUCCAAAAUCGGCGAGGGGCCAUCGCUGUGAUCGAGAGUCGUCUGCCCUUCACCGCUCGACGCCGCCGACGCUGCUGUCCCCGCGAGUUGCCGCCCAGACGUCGUCUCUCGGCCGGACUAAGCAGGGCAGCGCCUCUCUUUUCUAAAAGCUAAGUUCUUAACCUCUAUUUUCUUUUCGUUGUUUAUUAGAAAUCAAUAUGCAUAGAGACUCCUUCAGGAGAAAAUCUGAACUCAUCGAUCUAAUAGUGAGCGUGUUACGGCUGUAUUCGUUCAUCUAUUAGUGACAGUGGUGAGCUAAAAUGGUUCAUUUCUAUUUGUUUGUGGAAUCAGAUUACAAAUGUAUAAACUGAUCAUACUCUGAGGAUGUGAGGUAUGUAUAUGAAGAGAGAGUGAAUCGAGAUAACAUAAAUUACCUUGAGGUAUUGGCGUUGGUUGGCUGCUGUGGGUGGAUUAAGUGGAAGGAUUCUGAAAUAAAUCAUACUUGUUCCUUUCAAUAAAUGCAGGUUGCAAAUGGAAGGAGAUGUGGGAUAAAUGCCAAGGUUUACCUUGAAGUUGGCAGGACAAUGGAUGAAGAUUUCUGCUCCUCCAAAAGCUUCUAAGUGCAGAAUGAGGAGGAUAGUGAUUUGGAGGUUGAAGUGUGAGGAAAAAGGGCUUGUUAGCUGCACACUUGAGUGUGCUAAGGAAUAGGUAGGAGGGUAGGGAGAAGGGG